This is a long non-coding RNA of Nicotiana tabacum (common tobacco), 824 nucleotides long. RefSeq lists it as uncharacterized. NCBI's taxonomy places the organism in Eukaryota, Viridiplantae, Streptophyta, Magnoliopsida, Solanales, Solanaceae. The record is from RefSeq and is a predicted model, not a curated record.
GAAGAAAAAAUUAGAAGAAGGGGGUCACCUUUUUCUUCAUAAAAAAAACGAAAAAACGGAAGGAGGAGGUUUUUGGACUUCAUCCUCUUCUUCCUAAAAAAAAACUGAAAAGAAAAAAAAACUCUCACUCUCUCACAUCCAAAUGACCCCUUCCCCUUUGAAAUCCCGUAUUCUUCGACUUCUCUCCCCACCGGUUCUGCUUCAUCACCAACCAAAACUCCAGUUGAAAAUCAGUCCAAAUUCACCGGUUAAACAACCGCAAAAAGCAUCCCAGAACGCAGCAGAAACCAGCUGCGAAAAUAGCUUCAAAAUCAGUCCGAAAUCAGCUACGUGACAAUCAUUAAAGUGAGGUGAUGCUCGAGUUCGCCGAUUCGAGGUUCUGGUGAUAUCGCCUUUAGAAGUCACCGAUCCUGGUUCAGAUCUCAAGCAGAAUUAUUAAAUCGAAACUCUCUAUUGUACUUGGAUUUUGAUAGCUCCCAUUGCAAAUGAAUUUACGGCUGAUUGAGAUCGACGAUGGCAUUUGCGACGAAUCGGAACAGUGAAAUUAAGCCUUUUAUGAAACGGUGUUACUUUUUUGAGGUUGAUUCAUAAGCAUCACGACAAUGCUGAAGAUGAGAUUAUUUUUCCAGCACUUGAUAUUUUCCUUCUUGCUAAUAUGUUUGUGCUGUUUAAUUUUGUGGUAGCAUGUUUAAAUAACAAUCUGAAGCAAGUCAUUGAAUUAGCUAAUUUAGCUCAAGAAAUUUGGAGAGUUGUUCUAAUUUCGUUUCUUAGUUAUGUGUCAUGAUGUUUUGCUCUGUUUUAUGGAAGGUUCAGUAUCUAACUCA